Molecule: ribosomal RNA, 460 nt
Filed under: uncultured bacterium
Lineage: Bacteria
Description: partial 16S ribosomal RNA
Rfam family: Bacterial small subunit ribosomal RNA
Source: RNAcentral
CCUACGGGUGGCAGCAGUGAGGAAUAUUGGUCAAUGGACGAGAGUCUGAACCAGCAAAGUAGCGUGAAGGAUGACUGCCCUAUGGGUUGUAAACUUCUUUUAUAUGGGAAUAAAAUGUUCCACGUGUGGGUUUUUGUAUGUACCAUAUGUAUAAGGAUCGGCUAACUCCGUGCCAGCAGCCGCGGUAAUACGGAGGAUCCGAGCGUUAUCCGGAUUUAUUGGGUUUAAAGGGAGCGUAGGUGGAUUGUUAAGUCAGUUGUGAAAGUUUGCGGCUCAACCGUAAAAUUGCAGUUGAAACUGGCAGUCUUGAGUACAGUAGAGGUGGGCGGAAUUCGUGGUGGAGCGGUGAAAUGCUUAGAUAUCACGAAGAACUCCGAUUGCGAAGGCAGCUCACUGGACUGCAACUGACACUGAGGCUCGAAAGUGUGGGUAUCAAACAGGAUUAGAUACCCGAGUAGUC